RNAcentral lists this ribosomal RNA (687 nucleotides) under uncultured Lachnospiraceae bacterium. RNAcentral describes it as "bacterial SSU rRNA". It matches the Rfam family "Bacterial small subunit ribosomal RNA", at positions 49 to 749 of the family's 1533-position model. Lineage: Bacteria; Bacillati; Bacillota; Clostridia; Lachnospirales; Lachnospiraceae. The record is from RNAcentral.
UAACACAUGCAAGUCGAACGAGCGAGAGAAAGCUUGCUUUCUCGAGCUGAGUGGCGAACGGGUGAGUAACGCGUGAGGAACCUGCCUCAAAGAGGGGGACAACAGUUGGAAACGACUGCUAAUACCGCAUAAGCCCACGACCCGGCAUCGGGUAGAGGGAAAAGGAGCAAUCCGCUUUGAGAUGGCCUCGCGUCCGAUUAGCUAGUUGGUGAGGUAACGGCCCACCAAGGCGACGAUCGGUAGCCGGACUGAGAGGUUGAACGGCCACAUUGGGACUGAGACACGGCCCAGACUCCUACGGGAGGCAGCAGUGGGGAAUAUUGCACAAUGGGGGAAACCCUGAUGCAGCGACGCCGCGUGGAGGAAGAAGGUCUUCGGAUUGUAAACUCCUGUUGUUGAGGAAGAUAAUGACGGUACUCAACAAGGAAGUGACGGCUAACUACGUGCCAGCAGCCGCGGUAAAACGUAGGUCACAAGCGUUGUCCGGAAUUACUGGGUGUAAAGGGAGCGCAGGCGGGAAGACAAGUUGGAGGUGAAAUCCAUGGGCUCAACCCAUGAACUGCUUUCAAAACUGUUUUUCUUGAGUAGUGCAGAGGUAGGCGGAAUUCCCGGUGUAGCGGUGGAAUGCGUAGAUAUCGGGAGGACACCAGUGGCGAAGGCGGCCUACUGGGCACCAACUGACGCUGA